CCAACAGGGAUUGCCUCAGUAACGGCGAGUGAAGCGGCAACAGCUCAAAUUUGAAAUCUGGCCGCAAGGUCCGAGUUGUAAUUUGUAGAGGAUGUUUUGGGUACCGCCGUGGUUUAAUUUUCUUGGAACAGAAAGCCACAGAGGGUGAGAGUCCCGUCUUGGACCGCGGUAGGGCCUAUGUAAAACUCCUUCGACGAGUCGAGUUGUUUGGGAAUGCAGCUCAAAAUGGGUGGUAAAUUUCAUCUAAAGCUAAAUAUUGGCCAGAGACCGAUAGCGCACAAGUAGAGUGAUCGAAAGAUGAAAAGCACUUUGAAAAGAGAGUUAAACAGUAUGUGAAAUUGUUGAAAGGGAAGCGCAGGCAACCAGACUCGCGCGCGGGGUUCCCCCUGGCUUCUGCCUGGGUCACUUCCCCGCGUCCGGGCCAUCAUCAGUUUUGGGGACCGGUUAAAGGUCUCGGGAAUGUAUCCUCUUCUUCGGAGGAGGACUUAUAGCCCGGGGCGUCAUGCGGCCUCCUGGGACUGAGGAACGCGCUUCGGCGAGGAUGAUGGCGUAAUGGUUGUCUGCGGCCC
Molecule: ribosomal RNA, 569 nt
Filed under: Metulocladosporiella musae
Lineage: Eukaryota; Fungi; Ascomycota; Eurotiomycetes; Chaetothyriales; Herpotrichiellaceae
Description: LSU rRNA
Rfam family: Eukaryotic large subunit ribosomal RNA
Source: RNAcentral